GUUUUCUAUAUGUUUUCGAAGCUCAUCAACCAUGACCCCGUCAAGCGACUAGUCUAUUAUACUAUUGUAGAGGAUUAUUCGUCGAUAAAAGUUAAGAAAAACCUAGCCUCUUUAUGAUGAAAAGAAAUCGAAAAGCUCAAUCAUGUGACUGCGUUUUGCGCUACGGGAGUAUAUAUAGAGAUUUUGAUAUUGUUAUAUCACUGUUGCGGUGCGGUUUUAGAUGCAGUAUAUAUCACCAUUCAUGGCUUUAGUUUCUCGAUAUUUGUAUUUUAAGUUAUAUUUACUAACGAAAAAGAAAACAAUUAAUUUAAGAAUAUGAGUCAAACGUGCAAUUGAGAUUUUCUA
Molecule: small RNA, 345 nt
Filed under: Arabidopsis thaliana (thale cress)
Lineage: Eukaryota; Viridiplantae; Streptophyta; Magnoliopsida; Brassicales; Brassicaceae
Description: ATSL191360
Source: RNAcentral